UACGUAGGGGGCGAGCGUUACCCGGAUUUACUGGGCGUAAAGAGCGUGUAGGCGGCUGGCCAAGCGUGAUGUGAAAUCUUCGGGCUUAACCCGAAAACUGCAUUGCGAACUGGUCUGGCUAGAGUGUGUGAGAGGGUAGUGGAAUUCCCAGUGUAGCGGUGAAAUGCGUAGAUAUUGGGAGGAACACCAGUGGCGAAGGCGGCUCACUGGACCGGAACUGACGCUGAGGCGCGAAAGCGUGGGGAGCAAACGGG
Molecule: ribosomal RNA, 254 nt
Filed under: uncultured bacterium
Lineage: Bacteria
Description: partial 16S ribosomal RNA
Rfam family: Bacterial small subunit ribosomal RNA
Source: RNAcentral